Molecule: long non-coding RNA, 497 nt
Organism: Gossypium arboreum
Lineage: Eukaryota; Viridiplantae; Streptophyta; Magnoliopsida; Malvales; Malvaceae
Exons: 2
Source: RefSeq, a predicted model, not a curated record
AGCAAAAAAAAGGUCUUUUGGGCAAAAUCCCCUUUUGCCUUUCAAUUUUUUUUUUCAAAAAAAAAUGGCCCCCUAUCCCUCUGCUAAGGUUUCGACCCUGCUUUGGGGAGCCACAUAGGAUGGUCAUCGGCGCCUCAACGCCUCCACCUCGGACGCCGAACCACGGGGAAAAUCCAAGUACGUGAACAAGCACGUCUCUGACGUGGCAUGGUGGAAGAGUGCACGACGCGCAACGUGCGGUGCCUAGGGGCUGCUUCGGUGGCGGCAGCUAAAGGCUGGUUGCUAGGGUUCUGCCAAAAAUGUUUUUUGGUUUUGGGCUUAAAAGUUUGGGCUAGGGUUUAAGUGUUUGGUUUGGGUUUCAAUUUUGUAUUGGGCUGUUUGUAUUUUGGGCCAUGGUUUAAAAUUUGGGUCUGAAUUUGUAAACAAAAUGGACUAUUUAUUUUGAUUUUUUUGUUUAUGGGCCCCGGGCUGAAUUGGGCCAAAACAAUAUCAACAGA